AUCUCCACGCUAACCGUCUAUUCUUUCCUCGCUUGGAUCUUUCCAUACAUAUUUCAGGUCGUCGCUUAAGGGUGUUCUAGCUCCCCUUCUCUUCCUCUUCCUCUUCCUUCCAACUCCUCACUCCUCCACUCACAUCUUAUCCUCUCUGCAGGCAAAACAGGACGGUAAUUGUUACCUCAAACGACCAUUUCAGACCGCCGCUCCUCUCACAUGACUGCUUCCCCCUCCUUCUCCCCUUCCUUUCCUCCUCCCUCCUAUCUCCCACCACUCCCUCCCAUUAGUCACUAGUGCGUAGUUCAGUCAGGGUUGCCGGUCACGGUAUUAUUUCAUGAGGAGCACAUUGGGAUCCUUUCUUGCCCAUAGGCACCUCUUUUUGUCCAGUCCUUGUCACCACACACACACACACACACACACCGCGUAGUGUAGUGGUUAGCAAGCUCGACUCACAAUCGAGAGGGCCGGGUUCGAAUCCCGGCGCGGCGAGGUAAACGGGCAAGCCUCUUACGGCCGUAUGCUCGUCUCUCAACAUCAUCCUUAAGUAAAUACUUGGAUUUCCCAAGGCUAAACGCAUUGGUUAGGUGGAGAUGUGGCACCAGCGCCCAUGUUCCAACGCUUUCAGCUGAGCCCAGGGAGAAGUGGAGCGAAUAGAUCACCAAGUCAACUGUUAUCACAUCUGUAUUUCGUACAUAAGACCUCACCAUGGAUGAAUUUACUGAUAUCCAUGACCUGGAGGAAUUAGAGGCUGUGGAAGAGCUGGGGCCUCACAGAUGGCUACUGCAAGAAAUCUCUUCCCUUCGACAUUGAUGAGCCAGAAAAUGUUCAACACCAUCAUGAUACUGCCCCACCAGUACCAGCUUCAGGUUUUAAUGUAGCCCAUGUCAUUGAGAAUCAUUUCUCAUUUCUGAUGUGUGUGUGUGUGUGUGUGUGUGUGUGUGUGUGUGUGUGUGUGUGUGUGUGUGUGUGUGUCUUCAGUUAGUUG
Long non-coding RNA from Portunus trituberculatus (swimming crab), 979 nucleotides. RefSeq lists it as uncharacterized. The record is from RefSeq and is a predicted model, not a curated record. The transcript is spliced from 3 exons. Lineage: Eukaryota; Metazoa; Arthropoda; Malacostraca; Decapoda; Portunidae.